This 118-nucleotide small RNA is filed under the name Pseudomonas saudiphocaensis. The record is from RNAcentral. Lineage: Bacteria; Pseudomonadati; Pseudomonadota; Gammaproteobacteria; Pseudomonadales; Pseudomonadaceae.
UGGGACGCCGCGUAUGGAAGCGCAUACGACAAAACGGAUGCACGAGGAAUGGCGCCAGGAAGGCGCAAGUCACGGAUGUCAGAUUCAGUCUGCAAAGACCCUGCUUCGGCAGGGUUUU